AUGUGGGUUCGCCUCGGAUAUGCUGCUGGAACCAAUUUUUUCUUCUCUUUUGGUUGAUACGGUGUUCUUAUGGCAAUAAGAUAAUCAACCACAUUAUCGUCCACCUGGAAUGCCUUGGCCAAAACAUCAGGGUUGAUGGGAGGGUUGGAUCCGAAGACUGCAUUCGCAAUGGUGAUCACUCCCGGGUUCUGGCUGCUGAGACCGGCGAUGGCCAAAGCAUUGGUUUUUCCGACAUUGAGUUGGAAGUGAAUGAGACCGAUUGGGAAUACGAACACAUCUCCCUUGUACAACACUUUGGUGAACAGCCGAUUGCCGUCGCCAUUGGAUGUGACAAAUCCGACGUAGAGUGAGCCUUCAACGACUAUGAGGAUCUCCGUGGCACGAGGGUGAGUGUGAGGAGGGUUGAGGCCAUUUGGCGCAAAGUCUACGCGAGCAAAGGAUAUGCCGAGAGUGUUGAGUCCGGGUAUAACAUCCACGUUCGCCGCCGUAACUAUUGAACCGACCGGAUUCGAUGUGUUUCCGGGGUACCGUAGCUUGUCAGAGAAGAAAUCGUUUGCUGAUGCAAGUUUUGGGUCCUUGCAGAACUUCCCGUUCACAAACACUGCUCGCAAUGAUACACACAAGCAAAUUAAUCUUUUUUAUGUACGUAGGUGUUGUACACGUAUGGAUGAUGAGCCAUCAGCCAUGCAAAAUCAUAUAGUCAGGCUUUAGGCCUUGCUAUUUCCUACGUACUCUCUGUACUGAAUGGAAUCUUAAUUAAGGUUAUUGUUUUUACAUAAUUAAAACAUAUAAGUAUACGUACCAGCAGAAUCGGUGUUAUUAAUUGCUACGCAAAAGUCCUGAAGAGGAUCGGGAUCAGAGGCAGAGGCAAGGAGGGUGGCGAAUGCUAACACUGACAGGGCAGCAGCAGUUACAGGGAAAUGAACUCCCUUCAUCGCUAGCUAUGGUCUAUAGGGGAUUAGCAAGGACUUGGAACUUGUACUUAACUAGAUGAUCAGUUGCUUUGAGAAGGAUGAAAAUUAUGUAUGGGGACACUUGUCUAUUUAUAGAUUAGCAAGAGAGACUGAUGAUGAA
Malus domestica (apple) is the source of this 1074-nucleotide long non-coding RNA. RefSeq lists it as uncharacterized. NCBI's taxonomy places the organism in Eukaryota, Viridiplantae, Streptophyta, Magnoliopsida, Rosales, Rosaceae. The record is from RefSeq and is a predicted model, not a curated record.